RNAcentral lists this ribosomal RNA (1701 nucleotides) under Campylobacter coli. RNAcentral describes it as "partial 23S ribosomal RNA". It matches the Rfam family "Bacterial large subunit ribosomal RNA", at positions 1243 to 2925 of the family's 2925-position model. The record is from RNAcentral. Lineage: Bacteria; Pseudomonadati; Campylobacterota; Epsilonproteobacteria; Campylobacterales; Campylobacteraceae.
AUUUGCGUCGAAGGUAUACCGGUAAGGAGUGCUGGAGCGAAUAGAAGUGAGCAUGCAGGCAUGAGUAGCGAUAAUUAAUGUGAGAAUCAUUAACGCCGUAAACCCAAGGUUUCCUACGCGAUGCUCGUCAUCGUAGGGUUAGUCGGGUCCUAAGUCGAGUCCGAAAGGGGUAGACGAUGGCAAAUUGGUUAAUAUUCCAAUACCAACAUUAGUGUGCGAUGGAAGGACGCUUAGGGCUAAGGGGGCUAGCGGAUGGAAGUGCUAGUCUAAGGUCGUAGGAGGUUAUACAGGCAAAUCCGUAUAACAAUACUCCGAGAACUGAAAGGCUUUUUGAAGUCUUCGGAUGGAUAGAAGAACCCCUGAUGCCAUCGAGCCAAGAAAAGUUUCUAAGUUUAGCUAAUGUUGCCCGUACCGUAAACCGACACAGGUGGGUGGGAUGAGUAUUCUAAGGCGCGUGGAAGAACUCUCUUUAAGGAACUCUGCAAAAUAGCACCGUAUCUUCGGUAUAAGGUGUGGUUAGCUUUGUAUUAGGAUUUACUCCGAAAGCGAAGAAACUUACAACAAAGAGUCCCUCCCGACUGUUUACCAAAAACACAGCACUCUGCUAACUCGUAAGAGGAUGUAUAGGGUGUGACGCCUGCCCGGUGCUCGAAGGUUAAUUGAUGGGGUUAGCAUUAGCGAAGCUCUUGAUCGAAGCCCGAGUAAACGGCGGCCGUAACUAUAACGGUCCUAAGGUAGCGAAAUUCCUUGUCGGUUAAAUACCGACCUGCAUGAAUGGCGUAACGAGAUGGGAGCUGUCUCAAAGAGGGAUCCAGUGAAAUUGUAGUGGAGGUGAAAAUUCCUCCUACCCGCGGCAAGACGGAGAGACCCCGUGGACCUUUACUACAGCUUGACACUGCUAUUUGGAUAAGAAUGUGCAGGAUAGGUGGGAGGCUUUGAGUAUAUGACGCCAGUUGUAUAUGAGCCAUUGUUGAGAUACCACUCUUUCUUAUUUGGGUAGCUAACCAGCUUGAGUUAUCCUCAAGUGGGACAAUGUCUGGUGGGUAGUUUGACUGGGGCGGUCGCCUCCCAAAUAAUAACGGAGGCUUACAAAGGUUGGCUCAGAACGGUUGGAAAUCGUUCGUAGAGUAUAAAGGUAUAAGCCAGCUUAACUGCAAGACAUACAAGUCAAGCAGAGACGAAAGUCGGUCUUAGUGAUCCGGUGGUUCUGUGUGGAAGGGCCAUCGCUCAAAGGAUAAAAGGUACCCCGGGGAUAACAGGCUGAUCUCCCCCAAGAGCUCACAUCGACGGGGAGGUUUGGCACCUCGAUGUCGGCUCAUCGCAUCCUGGGGCUGGAGCAGGUCCCAAGGGUAUGGCUGUUCGCCAUUUAAAGCGGUACGCGAGCUGGGUUCAGAACGUCGUGAGACAGUUCGGUCCCUAUCUGCCGUGGGCGUAAGAAGAUUGAAGAGAUUUGACCCUAGUACGAGAGGACCGGGUUGAACAAACCACUGGUGUAGCUGUUGUUCUGCCAAGAGCAUCGCAGCGUAGCUAAGUUUGGAAAGGAUAAACGCUGAAAGCAUCUAAGCGUGAAGCCAACUCUAAGAUGAAUCUUCUCUAAGCUCUCUAGAAGACUACUAGUUUGAUAGGCUGGGUGUGUAAUGGAUGAAAGUCCUUUAGCUGACCAGUACUAAUAGAGCGUUUGGCUUAUCUUUAAUAAAGCAU